RNAcentral lists this ribosomal RNA (483 nucleotides) under uncultured bacterium. RNAcentral describes it as "partial 16S ribosomal RNA". It matches the Rfam family "Bacterial small subunit ribosomal RNA", at positions 30 to 506 of the family's 1533-position model. The record is from RNAcentral.
AGUGAACGCUGGCGGCAGGCCUAACACAUGCAAGUCGAGCGGCAGCGGGUCCUUCGGGAUGCCGGCGAGCGGCGGACGGGUGAGGAAUGCAUCGGAAUCUGCCCUGUCGUGGGGGAUAACCUAGGGAAACUUAGGCUAAUACCGCAUACGACCCACGGGUGAAAGCGGGGGAUCGCAAGACCUCGCGCGAUAGGAUGAGCCGAUGUCCGAUUAGCUAGUUGGCGGGGUAAAGGCCCACCAAGGCGACGAUCGGUAGCUGGUCUGAGAGGAUGAUCAGCCACCCUGGGGCGGAACACCGGCCCAACCCCCAAGGGGGGGAAGGAGGGGGGAAUUUUGGAAAAGGGGGGAAAGCCUGACCCAGCCAGGCCGGGGGGGGGAAGAAGGCCUUGGGUUUGUAAAGCCCUUUUGUCGGGGAAAAAAUCGUCCGGGCUAAUACCCCGGGGGGAUGACGGUACCGGAAGAAUAAGCACCGGCUAACUUCGU